GACGAACGCUGGCGGCGUGCCUAAUACAUGCAAGUAGAACGCACAGUUUAUACCGUAGCUUGCUACACCAUAGACUGUGAGUUGCGAACGGGUGAGUAACGCGUAGGUAACCUGCCUGGUAGCGGGGGAUAACUAUUGGAAACGAUAGCUGAUACCGCAUAAUAUUGAUUAUUGCAUGAUAAUUGAUUGAAAGAUGCUAUUGCAUCACUACCAGAUGGACCUGCGUUGUAUUAGCUAGUAGGUGAGGUAACGGCACACCUAGGCGACGAUACAUAGCCGACCUGAGAGGGUGAUCGGCCACACUGGGACUGAGACACGGCCCAGACUCCUACGGGAGGCAGCAGUAGGGAAUCUUCGGCAAUGGACGAAAGUCUGACCGAGCAACGCCGCGUGAGUGAAGAAGGGUGUCGGAUCGUAAAGCUCUGUUGUAAGAGAAGAACGGGUGUGAGAGUGGAAAGUUCACACUGUGACGGUAUCUUACCAGAAAGGGACGGCUAACUACGUG
RNAcentral lists this ribosomal RNA (505 nucleotides) under uncultured bacterium. Its description in RNAcentral is "partial 16S ribosomal RNA". It matches the Rfam family "Bacterial small subunit ribosomal RNA", at positions 28 to 507 of the family's 1533-position model. The record is from RNAcentral.